Long non-coding RNA from Myotis davidii, 721 nucleotides. RefSeq lists it as uncharacterized. Lineage: Eukaryota; Metazoa; Chordata; Mammalia; Chiroptera; Vespertilionidae. The transcript has 2 exons. The record is from RefSeq and is a predicted model, not a curated record.
UCUCUCUCCCUUCCUCUCUGAAAUCACUCAAAAGAAAAAAAGCAGCACCCACCUCACCUGGCCUAAGGGGUGCCUGCCUGGAAGCUUCUGUAGCCCUGACAGGUUUCCCUGACCUUGUCAGGCAGGAAGUGGGGGAGAGAGGAGCCAGGAGGACCGAAGAGCCAGGAGGGUGGGCACUUGGGUUUCCUCCCCUCCGGCUCCCUCCCACCUCACCCAUCCCGUGACCCCCAGGGGGAGCGAGGCACCACUGUCAUUGGUGGGCUUCCAGCUGGAACCCAUUUUCAGUCUCAGCCUCUUUCCGGGAUUUGACUUGGUGUUCUUUCCAAAGCCCCGGAUGGAUCUACAAGUGAUGCCAGCCCAGGGAGGGGGGCGCCUGAAUCUCAUCUUGCGGGCAGAGGUAGCACACCAGCCGGGUGAACAAAGCCCAUCGGGUCUGUCCAGAGCUGCUCGUCCCUACAGCCUCCAGCGACCACACGCCAAAAACGUUGGAGAUGAAAGUGUGCUGGACUGGGAGCAUCUGCCACAAGUGGUUUGGCAUAACAUCUGCGUCCCUUGGUAGCGUUUAUCUCUUCACUGAGCAGCUAACCUUCUCGAGCCAUCCAUGCGCCACAUCCGGGGGGACACUGUGUUAGGAACCCUUGCCAGGUCUGAGGUCUGCUCUCUGGGGCCACCUGCUUCCCUGUCUGGGCCUUGGUUUCUUUACCUGUGAAAUAGAGAUCGU